RNAcentral lists this ribosomal RNA (497 nucleotides) under uncultured bacterium. RNAcentral describes it as "partial 16S ribosomal RNA". It matches the Rfam family "Bacterial small subunit ribosomal RNA", at positions 28 to 507 of the family's 1533-position model. The record is from RNAcentral.
GAUGAACGCUGGCGGCGUGCCUAAUACAUGCAAGUCGAGCGAACAGACGAGGAGCUUGCUCCUCUGACGUUAGCGGCGGACGGGUGAGUAACACGUGGAUAACCUACCUAUAAGACUGGGAUAACUUCGGGAAACCGGAGCUAAUACCGUAUAAUAUAUUGAACCGCAUUGUUCAAUAGUGAAAGUCGGUUUUGCUGUCACUUAUAGAUGGAUCCGCGCCGCAUUAGCUAGUUGGUAAGGUAACGGCUUACCAAGGCAACGAUGCGUAGCCGACCUGAGAGGGUGAUAGGCCACACUGGAACUGAGACACGGUCAAGACUCCUAAGGGAGGCAGCAGUAGGGAAUCUGACGCAAUGGGCGAAAGCAUGACGGAGCAACGCCGCGUGAGUGAUGAAGGUCUUCGGAUCGUAAAACUCUGUUAUUAGGGAAGAACAAAUGUGUAAGUAACUAUGCACGUCUUGACGGUAACUAAUCAGAAAGCCACGGCUAACUACGUG